Molecule: non-coding RNA, 75 nt
Organism: Dryococelus australis
Lineage: Eukaryota; Metazoa; Arthropoda; Insecta; Phasmatodea; Phasmatidae
Source: the annotation of a GenBank genome assembly
GCGUCUGUAGCGUAGGUGGCUUCACACAUGCUUGCAGAGCGAGAGAUUCCGGGUUCGAGUCCUGGGCAGGGCGCG